Molecule: ribosomal RNA, 508 nt
Filed under: uncultured bacterium
Lineage: Bacteria
Description: partial 16S ribosomal RNA
Rfam family: Bacterial small subunit ribosomal RNA
Source: RNAcentral
AUUGAACGCUGGCGGCAUGCCUUACACAUGCAAGUCGAACGGCAGCGGGGGAGAAGCUUGCUUUUCCUGCCGGCGAGUGGCGAACGGGUGAGUAAUACAUCGGAACGUGCCCUGUAGUGGGGGAUAACUAGUCGAAAGAUUAGCUAAUACCGCAUACGACCUGAGGGUGAAAGUGGGGGACCGCAAGGCCUCAUGCUAUAGGAGCGGCCGAUGUCUGAUUAGCUAGGUGGUGGGGUAAAGGCCUACCAAGGCGACGAUCAGUAGCUGGUCUGAGAGGACGAUCAGCCACACUGGGACUGCGACACGGCCCAGACUCCUACGGGAGGCAGCAGUGGGGAAUUUUGGACAAUGGGCGAAAGCCUGAUUCAGCAAUGCCGCGUGUGUGAAGAAGGCCUUCGGGUUGUAAAGCACUUUUGUCCGGAAAGAAAUGGCUCUGGUUAAUACCUGGGGUCGAUGACGGUACCGGAAGAAUAAGGACCGGCUAACUACGUGCCAGCCGCCGCCGUAA